AUUGAACGCUGGCGGCAGGCCUAACACAUGCAAGUCGAACGGUAACAGGAAGCAGCUUGCUGCUUCGCUGACGAGUGGCGGACGGGUGAGUAAUGUCUGGGAAGCUGCCUGAUGGAGGGGGAUAACUACUGGAAACGGUAGCUAAUACCGCAUAAUGUCGCAUGACCAAAGAGGGGGAACUUCGGGCCUCUUGCCAUCGGAUGUGCGCAGAUGGGAUUAGCUUGUUGGUGGGGUAACGGCUCACCAAGGCGACGAUCCCUAGCUGGUCUGAGAGGAUGACCAGCCACACUGGAACUGAGACACGGUCCAGACUCCUACGGGAGGCACCAGUGGGGAAUAUUGCACAAUGGGCGCAAGCCUGAUGCAGCCAUGCCGCGUGGAUGAAGAAGGCCUUCGGGUUGUAAAGUACUUUCAGCGGGGAGGAAGGGAGUAAAGUUAAUACCUUCGCUCAUUGACGUUACCCUCAGAAGAAGCACCGGCUAACUCCGUG
RNAcentral lists this ribosomal RNA (490 nucleotides) under uncultured bacterium. Its description in RNAcentral is "partial 16S ribosomal RNA". It matches the Rfam family "Bacterial small subunit ribosomal RNA", at positions 30 to 507 of the family's 1533-position model. The record is from RNAcentral.